AUUGAACGCUGGCGGCAGGCCUAACACAUGCAAGUCGAACGAGUGGCGGACGGGUGAGUAACACGUGGGUCACUACCCAUCAGAGGGGGAUAACACCUGGAAACGGUAGCUAAUACCGCAUACUCUCGGAUAACCCAUAUGGGAUUAGCGUGUAGGUGAGGUAAUGGCUCACCUAGGCGACGAUCCCUAGCUGGUCUGAGAGGAUGAUCAGCCACACGGGGACUGAGACACGGCCCAGACUCCUACGGAGGCAGCAGUGGGGAAUAUUGCACAAUGGGCGAAAGCCGGAUGCAGCCAUGCCGCGUGUAUGAAGAAGGCCCUAGGGUUGUAAAGUACUUUCAGUCGGGAGGCGUUACCGACAGAAGAAGCACCGGCUAACUCCGUGCCAGCAGCCGCGGUAAUUC
This 404-nucleotide ribosomal RNA is filed under the name uncultured bacterium. Its description in RNAcentral is "partial 16S ribosomal RNA". It matches the Rfam family "Bacterial small subunit ribosomal RNA", at positions 30 to 526 of the family's 1533-position model. The record is from RNAcentral.